This 524-nucleotide ribosomal RNA is filed under the name uncultured bacterium. Its description in RNAcentral is "bacterial SSU rRNA". It matches the Rfam family "Bacterial small subunit ribosomal RNA", at positions 355 to 896 of the family's 1533-position model. The record is from RNAcentral.
UGGGGAAUAUUGGACAAUGGGCGCAAGCCUGAUCCAGCAAUGCCGCGUGAGUGAUGAAGGCCUUAGGGUUGUAAAGCUCUUUCGCCCGCGACGAUGAUGACGGUAGCGGGAGAAGAAGCCCCGGCUAACUUCGUGCCAGCAGCCGCGGUAAUACGAAGGGGGCGAGCGUUGUUCGGAUUUACUGGGCGUAAAGGGCGCGUAGGCGGCGGACCGAGUCGAGUGUGAAAGCCCCGGGCUCAACCUGGGAGGUGCGCUCGAGACUGGCCCGCUGGAGUUCGGGAGAGGAGCGUGGAAUUCCCAGUGUAGAGGUGAAAUUCGUAGAUAUUGGGAAGAACACCGGUGGCGAAGGCGGCGCUCUGGACCGAGACUGACGCUGAGGCGCGAAAGCGUGGGGAGCAAACAGGAUUAGAUACCCUGGUAGUCCACGCUGUAAACGAUGUGUGCUAGACGUUGGGGAGCGUAGCUCUUCGGUGUCGCAGCAAACGCUUUAAGCACACCGCCUGGGGAGUACGGCCGCAAGGUUA